This 251-nucleotide ribosomal RNA is filed under the name uncultured bacterium. RNAcentral describes it as "partial 16S ribosomal RNA". It matches the Rfam family "Bacterial small subunit ribosomal RNA", at positions 524 to 774 of the family's 1533-position model. The record is from RNAcentral.
UACGAAGGGGGCUAGCGUUGCUCGGAUUGACUGGGCGUAAAGGGCGCGUAGGCGGUUCGUACAGUCAGACGUGAAAUUCCUGGGCUCAACCUGGGGGCUGCGUUUGAUACGUGCGGACUUGAGUGCGGAAGAGGGUCGUGGAAUUCCCAGUGUAGAGGUGAAAUUCGUAGAUAUUCGCAAGAACACCAGUGGCGAAGGCGGCUCACUGGCCCGAUACUGACGCUGAGGCACGAAAGCGUGGGGAGCAAACA